GUCUUGGCGGUUGGCUUUGGGAGGUGUUGAGAUCUGCAGGGAGGCCCACGAUCUUAGCGCUGAUGGCCCCACGGCGAGAUCACGGCGUGUGAAGUGGCGCUAAAGGUGGAAGAUGCCUGGAAGGAGUCUGGGUCAGAAGCCUUACUAGCUUCUGAGUUUGGUUCAAUAAACUUGUAUCGU
Long non-coding RNA from Hyalella azteca, 180 nucleotides. RefSeq lists it as uncharacterized. The transcript is spliced from 2 exons. The record is from RefSeq and is a predicted model, not a curated record. Lineage: Eukaryota; Metazoa; Arthropoda; Malacostraca; Amphipoda; Hyalellidae.